AAUAAGCUAUUCCUGGUAUUUUUGUCUGCCGUGUGCAGGCAGGAUAAGGCCCAUAAUCCUUGGUUUGGAUGGAAGGGAGAAAGAAACUAGAAGAAAGCGUACAACACUCCCUAAGCCUCAGUGAAAACCCAAGGGUAUUGUGCAUCCAUUUGUGACUGUGUCUUUGAAAUCAUGUCUGAAUUACAGCUUUAUUAGGUGGUUACUGGAAGUAUACACAGUUCUGCAUUGGCUACUCCAGACUCUUUCAAGUGAACUCACAAAUAAACUCUAGUUUUA
Molecule: long non-coding RNA, 276 nt
Organism: Cygnus olor (mute swan)
Lineage: Eukaryota; Metazoa; Chordata; Aves; Anseriformes; Anatidae
Exons: 2
Source: RefSeq, a predicted model, not a curated record